RNAcentral lists this transfer RNA (69 nucleotides) under Marmota monax (woodchuck). RNAcentral's name for it is "tRNA.Val". The stretch from base 7 to 65 matches the Rfam family "tRNA", at positions 7 to 64 of the family's 71-position model. From Rfam's summary of the family: Transfer RNA (tRNA) molecules are approximately 80 nucleotides in length. Their secondary structure includes four short double-helical elements and three loops (D, anti-codon, and T loops). Lineage: Eukaryota; Metazoa; Chordata; Mammalia; Rodentia; Sciuridae. The record is from RNAcentral.
GAGAUUGUGGCUCAGUGGUAGAGCACUCGCCUGACAUGUGUGAGGCACUGGGUUCGAUCCUCAGCCCCA